AUUGAACGCUGGCGGCAUGCUUUACACAUGCAAGUCYGAACGGUAACAGGCCGCAAGGUGCUGACGAGUGGCGAACGGGUGAGUAAUGCAUCGGAACGUGCCCAGUCGUGGGGGAUAACGCAGCGAAAGCUGCGUUAAUACCGCAUACGAUCUAUGGAUGAAAGCGGGGGACCGUAAGGCCUCGCGCGAUUGGAGCGGCCGAUGUCAGAUUAGGUAGUUGGUGGGGUAAAGGCUCUACCAAGCCAACGAUCUGUAGCUGGUCUGAGAGGACGACCAGCCACACUGGAACUGAGACACGGUCCAGACUCCUACGGGAGGCAGCAGUGGGGAAUUUUGGACAAUGGGCGCAAGCUGGAUCCAGCAAUGCCGCGUGCAGGAAGAAGGCCUUCGGGUUGUAAACUGCUUUUGUACGGAACGAAACGGCGAGCUCUAAUACAGUUUGCUAAUGACGGUACCGUAAGAAUAAGCACCGGCUAACUACGUGC
This 485-nucleotide ribosomal RNA is filed under the name uncultured beta proteobacterium. Its description in RNAcentral is "bacterial SSU rRNA". It matches the Rfam family "Bacterial small subunit ribosomal RNA", at positions 30 to 508 of the family's 1533-position model. Lineage: Bacteria; Pseudomonadati; Pseudomonadota; Betaproteobacteria. The record is from RNAcentral.